UAGACCCCGAGCCGCUUCUUGCCGUC
Molecule: non-coding RNA, 26 nt
Filed under: Mus musculus (house mouse)
Lineage: Eukaryota; Metazoa; Chordata; Mammalia; Rodentia; Muridae
Source: RNAcentral